GUGGCUGGGGCUCAGUGGUAGAGCACUUGCCUAGCAUGCGUGAGGCCCUGGGUUCCAUCCUCAGCACCACG
RNAcentral lists this transfer RNA (71 nucleotides) under Ictidomys tridecemlineatus (thirteen-lined ground squirrel). RNAcentral's name for it is "Spermophilus tridecemlineatus (thirteen-lined ground squirrel) tRNA". It matches the Rfam family "tRNA". Rfam says of the family: Transfer RNA (tRNA) molecules are approximately 80 nucleotides in length. Their secondary structure includes four short double-helical elements and three loops (D, anti-codon, and T loops). The record is from Rfam by way of RNAcentral. Lineage: Eukaryota; Metazoa; Chordata; Mammalia; Rodentia; Sciuridae.